RNAcentral lists this ribosomal RNA (467 nucleotides) under uncultured bacterium. RNAcentral describes it as "partial 16S ribosomal RNA". It matches the Rfam family "Bacterial small subunit ribosomal RNA", at positions 28 to 506 of the family's 1533-position model. The record is from RNAcentral.
GACGAACGCUGGCGGCGUGCUUAACACAUGCAAGUCGAACGGAAAGGCCCUGCUUUUGUGGUGUGCUCGAGUGGCGAACGGGUGAGUAACACGUGAGUAACCUGCCCUUGACUUUGGGAUAACUUCAGGAAACUGGGGCUAAUACCGGAUAGGAGCUCCUGCUGCAUGGUGGGGGUUGGAAAGUUUCGGCGGUUGGGGAUGGACUCGCGGCUUAUCAGCUUGUUGGUGGGGUAGUGGCUUACCAAGGCUUUGACGGGUAGCCGGCCUGAGAGGGUGACCGGCCACAUUGGGACUGAGAUACGGCCCAGCUCCCCACGGGGGGCAGCAGGGGGGAAUAUUGCACAAGGGGCGGAACCCUGAGGCAGCAACGCCGCGUGGGGGAGGACGCCCUUGGGGUUGUAAACCGCUUUCGCCUGUGACGAAGCGUGAGUGACGGUAAUGGGUAAAAAAGCACCGGCUAACUACGU